GAAGAUCAAGUUGUCAAACUUUCACCUUGGUUCAUCUACUGCCAUGACCGCAUCACUGAGACCAUGCGACGACGCUUUCACUAUCAUUGUGUUGUUUGGUCUCCUCGUUCGACCUUCGUCUCUCAUUUCUAUGUCGAGAGGUCCAUUCUCGCGAUUUUUGUUGUUGAUGACGUACAUGACUUCUUAGUUGUAGUUACAACGAUUCUCUGGCUCUGACAAUGUGGGACAGGUACAUAUGGAGCUAGGCUCAUAGUGAUAUACCUAAAUAGUUCAUUCGAAAUACACACAUGCCACCUAAUCAAAGGCCCACCAUAACAUGCCCGAGAAAAGGUUUUUCAUUUUUGGUUGAUUCCAUGCACACAUCUCACUUCAGCACAUAUACCGUCUCAUUAAAGGUCAACUCAACAUGCAUGGAAAAAGUUUUUCACUAUAUGAUGCCACUAUAUUGAAAAAAUUCAUAAUAUAUGAUAUAUAAUUUUUAUUUUAUUUUAGUUUGUGUAUUAUUAAUUCUGCUACGAAUGUUUCACACAAUCAAACCACUAAAGUUUAUUGCAAUUCCACAGCGGUAUUUCUAGUAAAAUAGUUGUUUCUUAUUAUUCGAGGCCUUCUUUGCUUGGGGUCUGUGUACCGGCGCGGUCACGCCACCUGGCGCGGAGGGGACGAGCCAUAUUCGUAGGAGAGCAAUGCUACACAUACGUAAUGUUACGUUCAGAUUUUACAUAAAAGCUGAUGUGGGGUUUGUUAAUUGGGCCAGGAUUUGCAGCUGGGGCCCACCCCGGUUAAAAUAGGGGGGAGAAGGAAAUUUUAUGGAAGGUUACGCCCUACGUAGAACGCUUCGUAGGUGUAGAAUUAUCGUUAUUUUUUUGAAACUAGAACACCUUGCAUUCCAAAAAAAUUACGGUGGACUGACCCGAUCGGCGGCCACGGCACGGGUUACAUCAGGUGGCAAAUCAGACUGCCAGAUCAGCUGACUAUCAGGCUCAGCCCUCGCACCAACAACAGCUAACAAAUGUGCUGGGUUAUUACAUGCCAUCGGACAGAACAAGACUUUAUGCUCUGUAAACCCUAGCUGGAGAAGGAACUUCGCUUCACGGAUUAGCACGCCAAGAGAGCUGCGAUCCUGGGAUAUGCCGUCAAUAGCUAACUGCAGGGGUUGGCAGUCAGUCUAAAAGAACACCCGACCCAUGCCUUGCAGCUCUGCGAACUGGAUGGCCUUCAUCAAAGCUUCCGCUUCCGCGUGCAGCGGACUGCUUAAAUUCAGGAGUCUACCCGCUGCCGCCACUAUGCAGUCCCCUCUGCUGUCAUGAACCAGGAGGUGUCGGAAGUAUGCCCUAGAGGCAAUAAUAAAAUGAUUAUUAUAUUUCCUUGUUCAUGAUAAUUGUCUAUUGUUCAUGCUAUAAUUAUAUUAUCCGGAAAUCGUAAUACAUGUGUGAAUACAUAGACCACAAUGUGUCCCUAGUGAGCCUCUAGUUGACUAGCUCGUUGAUCAACAGAUAGUCAUGGUUUCCUGGCUAUGGACAUGGGGAUGUCAUUGAUAACGAGAUCACAUCAUUAGGAGAAUGAUGUGAUGGACAAGACCCAAACCUAAGCAUAGCACAAAGAUCGUGUAGUUCGUUUGCUGUAGCUUUUCUGGAUGUCAAGUAUCAUUUCCUUAGACCAUGAGAUUGUGCAACUCCCGGAUACCGUAGGAGUGCCUUGGGUGUGCCAAACGUCACAACGUAACUGGGUGACUAUAAAGGUACAUUACAUGUAUCUCCGAAAGUGUCAGUUGGGUUGGCACGAAUCGAGACUGGGAUUUGUCACUCCGUAUGACGGAGAGGUAUCUCUGGGCCCACUCGGUAAUGCAUCAUCAUAAUGAGCUCAAUGUGAUCAAGUGGUUGAUCACGGGAUCAUGCAUUACGGUACGAAUAAAGUGACUUGCCGGUAACGAGACUGAACGAGGUAUUCGGAUACCGACGAUCGAGUCUCGGGCAAGUAACGUACCGAUUGACAAAGGGAAUUGAGUACGGGAUUGAUUAGGUCCUCGACAUCAUGGUUCAUCCGAUGAGAUCAUCGAGGAGCAUGUGGGAGCCAACAUGGGUAUCCAGAUCCCGCUGUUGGUUAUUGACCAGAGAGUCGUCUCGGUCAUGUCUACAUGUCUUCCGAACUCGUAGGGUCUACACACUUAAGGUUUGGUGACGCUAGGGUUGUAGAGAUAUGAGUAUGCAGUAACCCGAAAGUUGUUCGGAGUCCCGGAUGAGAUCCCGGACGUCACGAGGAGUUCCGGAAUGGUCCGGAGGUGAAGAAUUAUAUAUAGGAAGUGCAAUUUCGGCCAUCGGGAGAGUUUCGGGGGUCAGCGGUAUUGUACCGGGACCACCGGAAGGGUCCCGGGGGUCCACCGGGUGGGGCCACCCAUUCCGGAGGGCCUCAUGGGCUGAAGUGGGGAGGGAACCAGCCCAUAGUGGGCUGGUGCGCCCCCCCCUUGGGCCCCCCAUGCGCCUAGGGUUGGGAACCCUAGGGGAGGGGGCGCCUCCACUUGCCUUGGGGGGCACUCCACCCCCUUGGCCGCCGCCCCCCCUAGGAGAUCCCAUCUCCUAGGGACGGCGCACCCCCUAGGGGGCCUAUAUAAAGGGGGGAGGGAGGGCAGCCGCACCUGAAGCCUUGGCGCCUCCCUCUCCCCUGUUACACCUCUCCCUCUCGAAGAAGCUCGGCGAAACCCUGCUGCGAUCACUGCUGCAUCCACCACCACACCGUCGUGCUGCUAGAUCUCCGUAAACCUCUCCUUCCCCCUUGCUGGAUCAAGAAGGAGGAGACGUCAUCUGCUCCGUACGUGUGUUGAACGCGGAGGUGCCGUCCGUUCGGCACUUGGUCAUCGGUGAUUUGGAUCACGGCGAGUACGACUCCAUCAUCCCCAUUCUCUUGAACGCUUCCGCUCGCGAUCUACAAGGGUAUGUAGAUGCACUCCCCUCUCAUUACUAGAUGACUCCAUAGAUAGAUCUUGGUGAAACGUAGAGAAUUUUUUUUGUUUUCUGCAACGUUCUCCAACAGUGGCAUCAUGAGCUAGGUCUAUGCGUAGUUACUAUGCACGAGUAGAACACAAAAUAGUUGUGGGCGUCGAUAUUGCCAAUUUGCUUGCCGUUACUAGUCUUAUCUUGAUCCGGCGGCAUCGUGGGAUGAAGCGGCCCAGACCAACCUUACACGUAUGCUUACGUGAGACCGGUUCCACCGACUGACAUGCACUAGUUGCAUAAGGUGGCUGGCGGGUGUCUGUCUCUCCCACUUUAGUCGGAUCGAAUUCGAUGAACAGGGUCCUUAUGAAGGGUAAAUAUAAAUUGGCAAUUCAUGUUGUGGUUUUGGCAUAGGUAAGAAAACGUUCUUGCUAGAACCCUAUUGCAGCCACGUAAAAACUUGCAACAACAAUUAGAGAACGUCUAACUUGUUUUUGCAGCAAGUGUUUUGUGAUGUGAUAUGGCCAAAGUUGUGAUGAAUGAUAUAUAUGUGAUGUAUGAGAUGAUGUUCUUGUAAUAGGAAUCACGACUUGCAUGUCGAUGAGUAUGACAACCGACAGGAGCCAUAGGAGUUGUCUUUAUUUUUUAUAUGACCUGCGUGUCAUUGAGAAACACCAUGUAAAUUACUUUACUUUAUUGCUAAACGUGUUAGCCAUAAUAGUAGAAGUAAUAGUUGGCGAGCAACUUCAUGGAGACACGAUGAUGGAGAUCAUGAUGAUGGAGAUCAUGGUGUCAUGCCAGUGACAAGAUGAUCAUGGAGCCCCAAGAUGGAGAUCAAAGGAAGCUAUAUGAUACUGGCAAUAUCAUGUCACUAUUAUUUGAUUGCAUGUGAUGUUUAUCAUGUUUUUGCAUCUUGUUUACUUAGAACGACGGUAGUAAAUAAGAUGAUCCCUCAUAAUAAUUUCAAGAAAGUGUUCCCCCUAACUGUGCACCGUUGCGACAAUUCGUUGUUUCGAAGCACCACGUGAUGAUCGGGUGUGAUAGAUUCCAACGUUCACAUACAACGGGUGUAAGACAGAUUUACACAUGCAAACACUUAGGUUGACUUGACGAGCCUAGCAUGUACAGACAUGGCCUCAGAACACAGAAGACCGAAAGGUCGAGCAUGAGUCGUAUAGAAGAUACGAUAAACAUGAAGAUGUUCACCGAUGUUGACUAAUCCAUCUCACGUGAUGAUCGGACACGGCCUAGUUAACUCGGAUCAUGUUAUACUUAGAUGACUGGAGAGAUGUCUAUCUGAGUGGGAGUUCAUCGAAUAAUUUGAUUAGAUGAACUUAAUUAUCAUGAACUUAGUCUAAAAUCUUUACAACAUGUAUUUUAGAUCAAAUGGCCAACGUUGUCCUCAACUUCAACGCGUUCCUAGAGAAAACCAAGCUGAAAGACGAUGGCAGCAACUAUACGGACUGGGUCCAGAACCUGAGGAUCAUCCUCAUAGCUACCAAGAAAGAUUAUGUCCUACAAGCACCGCUAGGUGAAGCACCUGCUCUCCCAGCAGAACAAGACGUUAUGAACGCUUGGCAGACACGUGCUGAUGAUUACUCCCUUGUUUAGUGCGGCAUGCUUUACAGCUUAGAACCGGGGCUCCAAAGGCAUUUUGAGAGACACGGAGCAUAUGAGAUGUUCGAAGAGCUGAAAAUGGUUUUUCAAGUUCAUGCCCGGGUCGAGAGAUAUGAAGUCUCCGACAAGUUCUUCAGCUGUAAGAUGGAGGAAAACAAUUCUUUCAGUGAGCACAUACUCACUAUGUCUGGGUUACAUAACCGCUUGACUCAGCUAGGAGUUAAUAUCCCGGAUGACGCGGUCAUUGACAGAAUCCUUCAGUCGCUUCCACCGAGCUACAAGAGCUUUGUGAUGAACUUCAAUAUGCAGGGGAUGGAAAAGACCAUUCCUGAAGUAUUUGCAAUGCUGAAAUCAGAAGAGGUAGAAGUCAAAAAGGAACAUCAAGUGUUGAUGGUGAAUAAAACCACUAAGUUCAAGAAAGGCAAGGGUAAGAAGAACUUCAAGAAGGACGGCAAGGGAGUUGCCGCGCCCGGUAAGCAAGCUGCCGGGAAGAAGCCAAAGAAUGGACCCAAGCCCGAGACUGAGUGCUUUUAUUGCAAGGGAAGUGGUCACUGGAAGCGGAACUGCCCCAAAUAAUUAGCGGACAAGAAGGCUGGCAUCACGAAAGGUAUAUGUGAUAUACAUGUAAUUGAUGUGUACCUUACCAGUACUCGUAGUAGCUCCUGGGUAUUUGAUACCGGUGCAGUUGCUCACAUUUGUAACUCAAAGCAGGAGCUGCGGAAUAAGCGGAGACUGGCGAAGGACGAGGUGACGAUGCACGUCGGGAAUGGUUCCAAGGUCGAUGUGAUCGUCGUCGGCACACUACCUCUACAUUUACCUACGGGAUUAGUUUUAAACCUCAAUAAUUGUUAUUUAGUGCCAGCUUUGAGCAUGAACAUUAUAUCAGGAUCUCGUUUAAUUCAAGAUGGCUACUCAUUUAAAUCCGAGAAUAAUGGUUGUUCUAUUUAUAUGAGAGAUAUGUUUUAUGGUCAUGCUCCGAUGGUGAAUGGUUUAUUCUUAGUGAAUCUCGAGCGUAAUGCUACACAUAUUCAUAGUGUGAAUACCAAAAGAUGUAAGGUUGAUAAUGAUAGUCCCACAUACUUGUGGCACUGCCUCCUUGGCCACAUAGGUGUCAAACGCAUGAAGAAGCUCCAUGCAGAUGGACUUUUAGAGUCUCUUGAUUACGAAUCAUUUGACACGUGCGAACCAUGCCUCAUGGGUAAAAUGACCAAGACUCCGUUCUCAGGAACAAUGGAGCGAGCAACCAACUUAUUGGAAAUCAUACAUACUGAUGUGUGCGGUCCAAUGAGUGUUGAGGCUCGCGGUGGCUAUCGUUAUGUUCUCACCCUCACUGAUGACUUGAGUAGAUAUGGGUAUGUCUAUUUAAUGAAACACAAGUCGGAGUCCUUUGAAAAGUUCAAGGAAUUUCAGAGUGAGGUUGAGAAUCAACGUGACAGAAAAAUCAAGUUCUUGUGAUCAGAUCGUGGGGGAGAAUACUUGAGUCACGAAUUUGGCACGCACUUAAGAAAAUGUGGAAUCGUUUCACAACUCACGCCGCCUGGAACACCUCAGCGUAAUGGUGUGUCCGAACGUCGUAAUCGCACUCUAUUAGAUAUGGUGCGAUCUAUGAUGUCUCUUACCGAUUUACCGCUAUCAUUUUGAGGCUAUGCUUUAGAGACUGCCACAUUCACUUUAAAUAGGGCUCCGUCGAAAUCCGUUGAGACGACACCGUAUGAAUUAUGGUUUGGGAAGAAACCUAAGCUGUCGUUUCUAAAAGUUUGGGGAUGCGAUGCUUAUGUCAAGAAACUUCAACCUGAAAAGCUCGAACCCAAGUCGGAAAAAUGCGUCUUCAUAGGAUACCCUAAAGAAACUAUUGGGUAUACCUUCUACCUCAGAUCCGAAGGCAAGAUCUUUGUUGCCAAGAAUGGAUCCUUUCUAGAGGAAGAGUUUCUCUCUAAAGAAAUAAGUGGGAGGAAAGUAGAACUCGAUGAAGUAUUACCUCUUGAACCGGUAAGUGGUGCAGCUCAAGAAAAUGUUCCUCAGGUGCCUGCACCGACUAAAGAGGAAGUUAAUGAUGAUGAUCAUGAAACUUCAGGUCAAGUUGCUACUGAACUUCGUAGGUCCACAAGGACACGUUCCGCACCAGAGUGGUACGGCAACCCUGUCUUGGAAAUCAUGUUGUUAGACAACGGUGAACCUUCGAACUAUGAAGAAGCGAUGGCGGGCCCGAAUUCUGACAAAUGGCUGGAAGCCAUGAAAUCCGAGAUAGGAUCCAUGUAUGAAAACGAAGUAUGGACUUUGACUGACUUGCCCGUUGAUCGGCGAGCCAUAGAAAAUAAAUGGAUCUUUAAGAAGAAGACAGACGCGGAUGGUAAUGUGACCAUCUAUAAAGCUCGACUUGUCGCUAAGGGUUAUCGACAAGUUCAAGGGGUCGACUAUGAUGAGACUUUCUCACCCGUAGCAAAGCUGAAGUCCGUCCGAAUCAUGUUAGCAAUUGCCACAUUCUAUGAUUAUGAGAUAUGGCAAAUGGACGUCAAAACGGCAUUCCUUAAUGGUUUCCUUAAGGAAGAAUUGUAUAUGAUGCAGCCGGAAGGUUUUGUCGAUCCUAAGAAUGCUGACAAGGUGUGCAAGCUCCAACGCUCGAUUUAUGGGCUGGUGCAAGCAUCUCGGAGUUGGAACAUUCACUUUGAUGAGAUGAUCAAAGCGUUUGGGUUUAUGCAGACUUAUGGAGAAGCCUGCAUUUACAAGAAAGUGAGUGGGAGCUCUGUAGCAUUUCUCAUAUUGUAUGUGGAUGACAUACUGUUGAUGGGAAAUGAUAUAGAAUUCUUGGAAAGCAUAAAGGCCUAUUUGAACAAGUGUUUUUCAAUGAAGGACCUUGGAGAAGCUGCUUAUAUAUUAGGCAUCAAAAUCUAUAGAGAUAGAUCGAGACGCCUCAUUGGUCUUUCACAGAGUACGUACCUUGACAAGAUAUUGAAGAAGUUCAAAAUGGAUCAGUCAAAGAAGGGGUUCUUGCCUGUAUUGCAAGGUACGAGAUUGAGCUUGGCUCAAUGCCCGACCACGGCAGAAGAUAGAGAAAAGAUGAGUGUCGUCCCCUAUGCCUCGGCCAUAGGGUCUAUCAUGUAUGCUAUGCUGUGUACCAGACCUGAUGUAAACCUUGUCGUGAGUUUGGUAGGAAGGUACCAAAGUAAUCCCGGCAUGGAACACUAGACAUCGGUCAAAAAUAUCCUGAAGUACCUGAAAAGGACUAAGGAAAUGUUUCUCGUUUAUGGAGGUGACGAAGAGCUCGUCGUAAAGGGUUACGUUGAUGCUAGCUUCGACACAAAUCUGGAUGACUCUAAGUCACAAACCGGAUACGUGUAUAUUUUGAAUGGUGGGGCAGUAAGCUGGUGCAGUUGCAAGCAAAGCGUUGUGGCGGGAUCUACAUGUGAAGCGGAGUACAUGGCAGCCUCGGAGGCAGCACACGAAGCAGUCUGGGUGAAGGAGUUCGUUACCGACCUAGGAGUCAUACCCAAUGCGUCGGGCCCGAUGACUCUCUUCUGUGACAACACUGGAGCUAUUGCCCUUGCCAAGGAGCCCAGGUUUCACAGGAAGACCAGGCAUAUCAAGCGUCGCUUCAACUUCAUUCGUGAAAGUGUUCAAAAUGGAGACAUAGAGAUUUGUAAAGUACAUACGGACCUGAAUGUAGCAGAUCCAUUGACUAAACCUCUCCCUAGAGCAAAACAUGAUCAACACCAGAAUUCCAUGGGUGUUCGAUUCAUCACAAUGUAACUAGAUGAUUGACUCUAGUGCAAGUGGGAGACUGUUGGAAAUAUGCCCUAGAGGUAAUAAUAAAAUGAUUAUUAUAUUUCCUUGUUCAUGAUAAUUGUAUAUUAUUCAUGCUAUAAUUGUAUUAUUUGGAAAUCGUAAUACAUGUGUGAAUACAUAGACCACAAUGUAUCGCUAGUGAGCCUCUAGUUGACUAGCUCGUUGAUCAACAGAUAGUCAUGGUUUCCUGGCUAUGGACAUGGGGAUGUCAUUGAUAACGGGAUCACAUCAUUAGGAGAAUGAUGUGAUGGACAAGACCCAAACCUAAGCAUAGCACAAAGAUCGUGUAGUUCAUUUGCUGUAGCUUUUCUGGAUGUCAAGUAUCGUUUCCUUAGACCAUGAGAUUGUGCAACUCCCGGAUACCGUAGGAGUGCCUUGGGUGUGCCAAACGUCACAACGUAACUGGGUGACUAUAAAGGUACAUUACAGGUAUCUCCGAAAGUGUCUGUUGGGUUGGCAUGAAUCGAGACUGGGAUUUGUCACUCCGUAUGACGGAGAGGUAUCUCUGGGCCCACUCGGUAAUGCAUCAUCAUAAUGAGCUCAAUGUGAUCAAGUGGUUGAUCACGGGAUCAUGCAUUACGGUACGAGUAAAGUGACUUGCCGGUAACGAGACUGAACAAGGUAUUCGGAUACCGACGAUCGAGUCUUGGGCAAGUAACGUACCGAUUGACAAAGGGAAUCGAGGAGCAUGUGGGAGCCAACAUGGGUAUCCAGAUCCCGCUGUUGGUUAUUAACCGGAGAGUCGUCUCGGUCAUGUCUACAUGUCUCCCGAACCCGUAGGGUCUACACACUUAAGGUUCGAUGACGCUAGGGUUGUAGAGAUAUGAGUAUGCAGUAACCUGAAAGUUGUUCGGAGUCCCAGAUGAGAUCCCUGACGUCACGAGGAGUUCCAGAAUGGUCCGGAGGUGAAGAAUUAUAUAUAGGAAGUGCAGUUUCGGCCAUCGAGAGAGUUUCGGGGGUCAGCGGUAUUGUACCGGGACCACCGGAAGGGUCCCGGGGGUCCACCGGGUGGGGCCACCCAUUCCGGAGGGCCUCAUGUGCUGAAGUGGGGAGGGAACCAGCCCAUAGUGGGCUGGUGCGCCCCCCCUUGGGCCCCCCAUGCGCCUAGGGUUGGGAACCCUAGGGGAGGGGGCGCCUCCACUUGCCUUGGGGGGCACUCCACCCCCUUGGCCGCCGCCCCCCUAGGAGAUCCCAUCUCCUAGGGUCGGCGCACCCCCUAGGGGGCCUAUAUAAAGGGGGGAGGGAGGGCAGCCGCACCUGAAGCCUUGGCGCCUCCCUCUCCCCUGUUACACCUCUCCCUCUCGCAGAAACUCGGCGAAGCCCUGCUGCGAUCACUGCUGCAUCCACCACCAUGCCGUCGUGCUGCUGGAUUUCCGUCAACCUCUCCUUCCCCCUUGCUGGAUCAAGAAGGAGGAGACGUCAUCCACUCCGUACAUGUGUUGAACGCGGAGGUGCCGUCCGUUCGGCACUUGGUCAUCGGUGAUUUGGAUCACGGCGAGUACGACUCCAUCAUCCCCGUUCUCUUGAACGCUUCCGCUCCCGAUCUACAAGGGUAUGUAGAUGCACUCCCCUCUCGUUGCUAGAUGACUCCAUAGAUAGAUCUUGGUGAAACGUAGAGAAUUUUUUUUGUUUUCUGCAACGUUCCCCAACAGGAGGCCCCAUCCUCCUCCUCCUAUUGUCUGCUUGAACGUAGCGUCGAUGUUGAUCUUCACCACUUCUGUCGGAGGGGCGCUCCAUUUAGAUGGUGGGUGUAUGCCCGAUGGUUGUCGUUGCUAUCUGUCCGGGGUGAGUAUUUCCCAUUCCUUCGUCAGACUGAAGGAAAUAUGCCCUAGAGGCAAUAAUAAAGUUAUUAUUUAUUUCCUUAUAUCAUGAUAAAUGCUUAUUAUUCAUGCUAGAAUUGUAUUAACCAUAAACGUAAUACUUGUGUGAAUACAUAGACAAACAAAGUGUCACUAGUAUGCCUCUACUUGACUAGCUCGUUAAUCGAAGAUGGUUAUGUUUCCUAACCAUAGACAUGAGUUGUCAUUUGAUUAACGGGAUCACAUCAUUAGGAGAAUGAUGUGAUUGACAUGACCCAUUCCAUUAUCUUAGCACCCGAUCUUUUAGUAUGUUGUUAUUGCUUUCUUCAUAACUUAUACAUGUUCCUAUGACUAUGAGAUUAUGCAACUCCCGUUUACCGGAGGAACACUUUAUGUGCUACCAAACGUCACAACGUAACUGGGUGAUUAUAAAGGUGCUCUACAGGUGUCUCCAAAGGUACAUGUUGGGUUGGCAUAUUUCGAGAUUAGGAUUUGUCGCUCUGAUUGUCGGAGAGGUAUCUCUGGGCCCUCUCGGUAAUACACAUCACUUAAGCCUUGCAAGCAAUGCAACUAAUAAGUUAGUUGCAAAAUGAUGUAUUACGGAACGAGUAAAGAGACUUGCCGGUAACAAGAUUGAACUAGGUAUUGAGAUACCGACGAUUGAAUCUCGGGCAAGUAACAUACCGAUGACAAAGGGAACAACGUAUGUUGUUAUGCGGUCUGACCGAUAAAGAUCUUCAUAGAAUAUGUAGGAGCCAAUAUGAGCAUCCAGGUUCCGCUAUUGGUUAUUGACCGGAGACGUGUUUCGGUCAUGUCUACAUUGUUCUCGAACCCGUAGGGUCCGCACGCUUAACGUUAUGAUGACAGUUUCAUUAUGAGUUUAUAUAUUUUGAUGUACCGAAGGUUGUUUGAAGUCCCAGAUGUGAUCACGGACUUGAUGAGGAGUCUUGAAAUGGUCGAGAAGAUCGAUAUAUUGGACGACUAUAUUUGGACACCGGAAAGGUUCCGGGUAAGAUUGGGACAAUAUCGGAUCACCGAGAGGUUAUCGGAACCCCCCGGGAGGUAUAUGGGCCUUAUUGGGCCUUAGUGGAAAGGAGGGGAAAGGAGCAAGGGAGGGGGCGCGCCCCCUCCCAAGCCCAAUCCGAAUUGGGAGGGGGGUCGGCCCCCCCUUUCCUUCCUCCCUCCUUCCUCUUUCUUCCCUCUCCUACUCCUAAUAGGAAAAAGGGGAGUCCUACUCCCGAUGGGAGUUGUACUCCCCCCCUUGGGCGCGCCACCCUCCUUGGCCGGCCCCCUCCUCCACUCCUUUAUAUACGGGGGCAGGGGGCACUCCAGAGACACAACAAUUGAUCAUUGAUCUCUUAGCCGUGUGUGGUGCCCCCUCCACCAUAAUCCUCGAUAAUAUUGUAGCGGUUCUUAGGCGAAGCCCUACGACGGUAGAACAUCAAGAUCGUCACCACGCCGUCGUGCUGACGGAACUCAUCCCCGACACUUUGCUGGAUCGGAGUCCGGGGAUUGUCAUCGAGCUGAACGUGUGCAAAAACUCAGAGGUGCCGUAGUUUCGGUGCUUGAUCGGUCGGGCUGUGAAGACGUACGACUACAUCAACCGCGUUGUUAUAACGCUCCCGCUUCCGGUCUACGAGGGUACGUAGACAACACUCUCCCCUCUCGUUGCUGUGCAUCACCAUGAUCUUGCGUGUGCGUAGGAAUUUUUUUGAAAUUACUACGUUCCCCAACAGUGGCAUCCGAGCCUAGGUUUUAUGUGUUGAUGUUAUAUGCACGAGUAGAACACAAGUGAGUUGUGGGCGAUAUAAGUCAUAUUGCUUACCAGCAUGUCAUACUUUGGUUCGGCGGUAUUGUUGGAUGAAGCGGCCCGGACCGACAUUACGCGUACGCUUACGCAAGACUGGUUCUACCGACGUGCUUUGCACACAGGUGGCUGGCGGGUGUCAAUUUCUCCAACUUUAGUUGAACCGAGUAUGGCUACGCCCGGUCCUUGCGAAGGUUAAAACAACACCAACUUGACAAACUAUCGUUGUGAUUUUUGAUGCGUAGGUAAGAUUGGUUCUUGCUAAGCCCGUAGCAGCCAUGUAAAACUUGCAACAAACAAAGUAGAGGACGUCUAACUUGUUUUUGCAGGGCAUGUUGUGAUGUGAUAUGGUCAAGGCAUGAUGCUAAAUUUUAUUGUAUGAGAUGAUCAUGUUUUGUAACCAAGUUAUCGGCAACUGGCAGGAGCCAUAUGGUUGUCGCUUUAUUGUAUGCAAUGCAAUCACCCUGUAAUACUUUACUUUAUCACUAAAUGGUAGCGAUAGUCGUAGAAGCAUAAGAUUGGCAAGACAACAACGAUGCUACGAUGGAGAUCAAGGUGUCACACCGGUGACGAUGGUGAUCAUGACGAUGCUUCGGAGAUGGAGAUCACAAGCACAAGAUGAUGAUGGCCAUAUCAUAUCACUUAUAUUGAUUGCAUGUGAUGUUUAUCUUUUAUGCAUCUUAUCUUGCUUUGAUUGACGGUAGCAUUAUAAGAUGAUCUGUCACUAAAUUUCAAGAUAAAAGUGUUCUCCCUGAGUAUGCACCAUUGCCAAAGUUCGUCGUGCCCAGACACCAUGUGAUGAUUGGGUGUGAUAAGCUCUACGUCCAUCUACAACGGGUGCAAGCCAGUUUUGCACAUGCAAAAUACUCAGGUUAAACUUGACGAGCCUAGCAUAUGCAGAUAUGGCCUCGGAACACUGAGACCGAAAGGUCGAGCGUGAAUCAUAUAGUAGAUAUGAUCAACAUAGUGAUGUUCACCAUUGAAAACUACUCCAUUUCACGUGAUGAUCGGUUAUGGUUUAGUUGAUUUGGAUCACGUGACCACUUAGAAGAUUAGAGGGAUGUCUUUCUAAGUGGGAGUUCUUAAGUAAUAUGAUUAAUUGAACUUAAAUUUAUUAUGAACUUAGUACCUGAUAGUAUCUUGCUUGUUUAUGUUUGACUGUAGAUAGAUGGCCCGUGUUGUUGUUCUGUUGAAUUUUAAUGCGUUCCUUGAGAAAGCAAAGUUGAAAGAUGAUGGUAGCAAUUAUACGGACUGGGUCCGUAACUUGAGGAUUAUCCUCAUUGCUGCACAGAAGAAUUACGUCCUGGAAGCACCGCUGGGUGCCAAGUCUGCUGCUAAUGCAACUGACGACGUUAAGAACGUCUGGCAGAGCAAAGCUGAUGACUACUCGAUAGUUCAAUGUGCCAUGCUUUAUGGCUUAGAACCGGGUCUUCAACGAUGUUUUGAACGUCAUGGAGCAUAUGAGAUGUUCCAGGAGUUGAAGCUAAUAUUUCAAGCAAAUGCCUGGAUUGAGAGAUAUGAAGUCUCCAAUAAGUUCUAUAGCUGCAAGAUGGAGGAGAACAGUUCUGUCAGUGAGCAUAUACUCAAAAUUUCCGGGUAUAAUAAUCACUUGAUUCAACUGGGAGUUAAUCUUCUGGAUGAUUGCGUCAUUGACAAAAUUCUCCAAUCACUUCCACCUAGCUACAAGAGCUUCGUGAUGAACUAUAAUAUGCAAGGGAUGGAUAAGACAAUUCCCGAGCUCUUCGCAAUGCUAAAAGCUGCGGAGGUAGAAAUCAAGAAGGAGCAUCAAGUGUUGAUGGUCAACAAGACCACUAGUUUCAAGAAAAAGGGCAAGGGGUAGAAGAAGGGGAACUUCAAGAAGAACAGCAAGCAAGUUGCUGCUCAGGAGAAGAAACCCAAGUCUGGACCUAAGCCUGAAACUGAGUGCUUCUACUGCAAGCAGACUGGUCACUGGAAGCGGAACUGCCCCAAGUAUUUGGUGGAUAAGAAGGAUGGCAAGGUGAACAAAGGUAUAUGUGAUAUACAUGUUAUUGAUGUGUACCUUACUAGAGUUCGCAGUAGCACCUGGGUAUUUGAUACUGGUUCUGUUGCUAAUAUUUGCAACUCGAAACAGGGACUACGGAUUAAGCGAACACUGGCGAAGGACAAGGUGACGAUGCGCGUGGGAAAUGGUUCCAAAGUCGAUGUGAUCGCGGUCGGCACGCUACCUCUACAUCUACCAUCGGGAUUAGUAUUAGACCUAAAUAAUUGUUAUUUGGUGCCAGCAUUGAGCAUGAACAUUAUAUAUGAAUCUUGUUUGAUGCGAGACGGUUAUUCAUUUAAAUCAGAGAAUAAUGGUUGUUCUAUUUAUAUGAGUAAUAUCUUUUAUGGUCAUGCACCCUUGAAGAGUGGUCUAUUUUUGAUGAAUCUCGAUAGUAGUGAUACACAUAUUCAUAAUGUUGAAGCCAAAAGAUGCAGAGUUGAUAAUGAUAGUGCAACUUAUUUGUGGCACUGUCGUUUAGGUCAUAUCGGUGUAAAGCGCAUGAAGAAACUCCAUACUGAUGGACUUUUGGAACCACUUGAUUAUGAAUCACUUGGUACUUGCGAACCGUGCCUCAUGGGCAAGAUGACUAAAACGCCGUUCUCCGGUACUAUGGAGAGAGCAACAGAUUUGUUGGAAAUCAUACAUACAGAUGUAUGUGGUCCAAUGAAUGUUGAAGCUCGUGGCGGAUAUCGUUAUUUUCUCACCUUCACAGAUGAUUUAAGCAGAUAUGGGUAUAUCUACUUAAUGAAACAUAAGUCUGAAACAUUUGAAAAGUUCAAAGAAUUUCAGAGUGAAGUUGAAAAUCAUCGUAACAAGAAAAUAAAGUUUCUACGAUCUGAUCGUGGAGGAGAAUAUCUGAGUUACGAGUUUGGUUUAUAUUUGAAACAAUGCGGAAUAGUUUCGCAACUCACGCCACCCGGAACACCACAGCGUAAUGGUGUGUCCGAACGUCGUAAUCAUACUUUACUUGAUAUGGUGCGAUCUAUGAUGUCUCUUACAGAUUUACCACUAUCGUUUUGGGGUUAUGCUUUAGAGACGGCCGCAUUCACGUUAAAUAGGGCACCAUCAAAAUCCGUUGAGACGACGCCUUAUGAACUAUGGUUUGGCAAGAAACCAAAGUUGUCUUUUCUGAAAGUUUGGGGCUGCGAUGCUUAUGUGAAAAAGCUUCAACUUGAUAAGCUCAAACCCAAAUCGGAGAAAUGUGUCUUCAUAGGAUACCCGAAGGAGACUGUUGGGUACACCUUCUAUCACAGAUUCGAAGGCAAGACAUUUGUUGCUAAGAAUGGAUCCUUUCUAGAGAAGGAGUUUCUCUCGAAAGAUGUGAGUGGGAGGAAAGUAGAACUUGAUGAGGUAACUGUACCUGCUCCCUUAUUGGAAAGUAGUACAUCACAGAAACCGGUUUCUAUGACACCUACACCAAUUAGUGAGGAAGCUAAUGAUGAUGAUCAUGAAACUUCAGAACAAGUUACUACUGAACCUCCUAGAUCAACCAGAGUAAGAUCCGCACCAGAGUGGUACGGUAAUCCUGUUCUAGAAGUCAUGCUACUAGAUCAUGAUGAACCUAUGAACUAUGAAGAAGCAAUGGUGAGCCCAGAUUCCGCAAAAUGGCUUGAAGCCAUGAAAUCUGAGAUAGGAUCCAUGUAUGAGAACAAAGUGUGGACUUUGGUUGACUUGCCCAAUGAUCGGCAAGCAAUUGAAAAUAAAUGGAUCUUCAAGAAGAAGACUAACGCUGACGGUAAUGUUACUGUCUACAAAGCUCGAAUUGUCGCAGAAGGUUUUCGACAAGUUCAAGGAAUUGACUACGAUGAGACCUUCUCACCCGUAGCGAUGCUUAAGUCUGUCCGAAUCAUGUUAGCAAUUGCCGCAUUUUAUGAUUAUGAAAUUUGGCAGAUGGAUGUCAAAACUGCAUUCCUGAAUGGUUUUCUGGAAGAAGAGUUGUAUAUGAUGCAGCCGGAAGGUUUUGUCGAUCCAAAAGGAGCUAACAAAGUGUGCAAGCUCCAGCGAUCCAUUUAUGGACUGGUGCAAACAUCUCGGAGUUGGAAUAAACGCUUUGAUAGUGUGAUCAAAGCAUUUGGUUUUGUACAGACUUUUGGAGAAGCCUGUAUUUACAAGAAAGUGAGUGGGAGCUCUGUAGCAUUUCUGAUAUUAUAUGUGGAUGACAUAUUGCUAAUCGGAAAUGAUAUAUAAUUUCUGGAUAACAUAAAGGGAUACUUGAAUAAGAGUUUUUCAAUGAAAGACCUCGGUGAAGCUGUUUACAUAUUGGGCAUUAAGAUCUAUAGAGAUAGAUCAAGACGCUUAAUUGGACUUUCACAAAGCACAUACCUUGACAAAGUUUUGAAGAAGUUCAAAAUGGAUCAAGCAAAGAAAGGAUUCUUGCCUGUGUUACAAGAUGUGAAGUUGAGUAAGACUCAAUGCCCGACCACUGCAGAAGAUAGAGAGAAAAUGAAAGAUGUUCCCUAUGCUUCAGCCAUAGGCUCUAUCAUGUAUGCAAUGCUGUGUACCAGACAUGAUGUGUGCCUUGCUAUAAGUCUAGCAGGGAGGUACCAAAGUAAUCCAGGAGUGGAUCACUGGACAGCGGUCAAGAACAUCCUGAAAUACCUGAAAAGGACUAAGGAUAUGUUUCUCAUAUAUGGAGGUGACAAAGAGCUCAUCGUAAAUGGUUACGUUGAUGCAAGCUUUGACACUGAUCCGGACGACUCUAAAUCGCAAACCGGAUACGUAUUUACAUUAAACGAUGGAGCUGUCAGUUAGUGCAGUUCUAAACAAAGCAUCGUGGCAGGAUCUACAUGUGAAGCGGAGUACAUAGCUGCUUCGGAAGCAGCAAACGAAGGAGUCUGGAUGAAGGAGUUCAUAUCUGAUCUAGGUGUCAUACCUAGUGCAUCGGGUUCAAUGAAAAUCUUUUGUGACAAUACUGGUGCAAUUGCCUUGGCAAAGGAAUCCAGAUUUCACAAGAGAACCAAGCACAUCAAGAGACGCUUCAAUUCCAUCCGGAAUCUAGUCCAGGCGGGAGACAUAGAGAUUUGCAAGAUACAUACGGAUCUGAAUGUAGCAGACCCAUUGACUAAGCCUUUUCCACGAGCAAAACAUGAUCAGCACCAAGGCUCCAUGGGUGUUAGAAUCAUUACUGUGUAAUCUAGAUUAUUGACUCUAGUGCAAGUGGGAGACUGAAGGAAAUAUGCCCUAGAGGCAAUAAUAAAGUUAUUAUUUAUUUCCUUAUAUCAUGAUAAAUGUUUAUUAUUCAUGCUAGAAUUGUAUUAACCGGAAACGUAAUACUUGUGUGAAUACAUAGACAAACAAAGUGUCAUUAGUAUGCCUCUACUUGACUAGCUCGUUAAUCGAAGAUGGUUAUAUUUCCUAACCAUAGACAUGAGUUGUCAUUUGAUUAACGGGAUCACAUCAUUAGGAGAAUGAGGUGAUUGACAUGACCCAUUCCAUUAGCUUAGCACCCGAUCGUUUAAUAUGUUGCUAUUGCUUUCUUCGUGACUUAUACAUGUUCCUAUGACUAUGAGAUUAUGCAACUCCCGUUUAUCGGAGGAACACUUUGUGUGCUACCAAACGUCACAACGUAACUGGGUGAUUAUAAAGGUGCUUUACAGGUGUCUCCAAAGGUACAUGUUGGGUUGGCGUAUUUCGAGAUUAGGAUUUGUCGCUCCAAUUGUCGGAGAGGUAUCUCUGGCCCCUCUCGGUAAUACACAUCACUUAAGCCUUGCAAGCAAUGCAACUAAUAAGUUAGUUGCAAAAUGAUGUAUUACGGAACGAGUAAAGAGACUUGCCGAUAACGAGAUUGAACUAGGUAUUGAGAUACCGACGAUCGAAUCUCGGGCAAGUAACAUACCGAUGACAAAGGGAAUAACGUAUGUUGUUAUGCGGUCUGACCGAUAAAGAUCUUCGUAGAAUAUGUAGGAGCCAAUAUGAGCAUCCAGGUUCCGCUAUUGGUUAUUAACCGGAGACGUGUUUCGGUCAUGUCUACAUUGUUCUCGAACCCGUAGGGUCCGCACGCUUAACGUUACGAUGACAGUUUCAUUAUGAUUUUAUAUAUUUUGAUGUACCGAAGGUUGUUCGGAGUCCCGGAUGUGAUCAUGGACUUGACGAGGAGUCUCGAAAUGGUCGAGACAUAAAGAUCGAUAUAUUGGACGACUAUAUUUGGACACCGGAAAGGUUCCAGGUAAGAUUGGGACAAUACCGGAUCACCGAGAGAUUAUCGGAACCCCCCGGGAGGUAUAUGGGCCUUAUUGGGCCUUAGUGGAAAGGAGGGGAAAGGAGCAAGGGAGGGGGCGUGCCCCCCAAGCCCAAUCCGAAUUGGGAGGGGGGGCGGCCCCCCCUUUCCUUCCUCCCUCCUUCCUCUUUCUUCCCUCUCCUACUCCUAAUAGGAAAAAGGGGAGUCCUACUCCCGAUGGGAGUUGGACUCCCCCCCUUGGGUGCGCCACCCUCCUUGGCCGGCCCCCUCCUCCACUCCUUUAUAUACGGGGGCAGGGGGGCAUCCCAGAGACACAACAAUUGAUCAUUGAUCUCUUAGCCGUGUGCGGUGCCCCCCUCCAUCAUAAUCCUCGGUAAUAUUGUAGCGGUGCUUAGGCGAAGCUCUGCGACGGUAGAACAUCAAGAUCGUCACAACGCCGUCGUGCUGACGGAACUCAUCCCCGACACUUUGCUGGAUCGGAGUUCGGGGAUCGUCAUCGAGCUGAACGUGUGCAAAAACUCCGAGGUGCCGUAGUUUCGAUGCUUGAUCGCUCGGGCCGUGAAGACGUACGACUACAUCAACCGCGUUGUUAUAACGCUUCCGUUUCCGAUCUACGAGGGUACGUAGACAACACUCUCCCCUCUCGUUGUUGUGCAUCACCAUGAUCUUGCGUGUGCGUAGGAUUUUUUUUGAAAUUACUACGUUCCCCAACACAGACAUCCCACACGCACACUGAAAGCCUCCGGACUCAGUCGCUUCUUCUGGUGGUUGGCAUUGUUGCGCUCCGCCCACCAGGACCAUAAAAGGCAGAUCGUGCGCAUCUUGAUCUCGAUGUGCAGCUUGAAAACGGCCACGAGCAAGUCCGUAGGGGUUGCACACAGCAGGAGCCGCUGUCUAGUGUACUCAAGACCACAGUGUCGCCACAUGCACUUAACUUCCUUGCAACGCAGAAAGAGAUGGCUCCCAUCCUCAGCUUGUCGACAGCAUAGAUGGCAUAGCACAUCCAGCUCCACCCCGAUUCGUUCGACAUUACGCCAGAGGGGGUGGCUAUUAUGGGCAAGUCUCCACAGAAAAUGAUGAACUCUAGGGGGGCACGGCGGCUUCCAUAGUGCCUGCCAAAACUUUCAUUUAUCCUCUAGGCCGGAUGAGUUCUCCCCCCUUUGUUGUUUUUUCUGCUGGUCUAACAGGUGCACAUAAACCCUGUAGGCUGAUCUCACCGAGAAGAGACCCUUGCUGUCAAAAUACUAGGCCACAAAGUCCUCAAAGCAGUCGCGAAUGGGAUACUCAGGAUUGUCCUUGCAUCUUCCUGACAGAAGGUUUGCUGAACCAGUUCUCCAUCCCACGUACUUGUAGCCGGGUCAAUUAACUCCGAAACCCUCGUUAGCAGAUGGGCACCUUGGAGGGUCCUUUGUCUUCUUGUGUCAUUUGAGGGCAGCCAUGGAUCCCGUCAAAUAUUUGAUCAUAUCACCUGUGCCAACCCUCCAAAUCAUGCCAGCCUUAAUGACACAAAUACCUUGGAGCAGACUACGCCAAACAUAGCUCAUCCUUGGUGUUGCUACAGAAUUCAGUACCUCGCCGUGUGGGAAGUAUUUAGCUUGUAGGACUCGUCCACACAGGGACUCCGGACACUGGAUUAGCCGCCAGACCUGUCGUGAUAGCAUUUGCAAUGUUAAAAGCAUGCAAGUCACGAAAGCCGAGGCCUCCCUGCUCCUUCGGCAGACACAUUCUUUCCCACCCCACCCAGUGGUGUCACUCCUCCUCAUCUUGAUUUGCCCAAUGGUGUAGAAUUAUCGUUGGUAGGACAGAGAGCUCCCUAUACGUCGCCCGUCAGCGUCCGUUCAUCGCGGCUUCGCUGAAGCGGCACGCAAAUAGGCCGGCCCAAUUAUCACAGGUCGAGCGAAAAAAAAACGGAAAAAGGAAUCGCACGCGUGGAUCGAACUCCUGACAACAUUCAAGAUUCUAGCGAGCCAAGCCACCCGAGCUAGCAACCUACAACGGUGUUAACGCAGCGCCAGUCUUAAAGUAUGCAAGACGGCGGCAAAAUCCUUUUUUCGAAAGAAAUCAUUUUUUUAAAUAUACGUUGAACAAAAUUUAAAAGAAAGUGAACCUUUUUUUGGAAAAAAACACUGAAUAAAUUUCAAAUACACAAAUCAACAUUUGUAGUAUGCGUCAAACAAUUUUUUAAUGUAUGAUGACCACAUUUUAAAUAUGCAAUGAACACUUUUAAAUAUAUGCUGAACAAUUUCAUAACAUACGGUGAACAUUUGUGUAAUACACGAUGAACAUUUUUAUAAUGCUAGGUGAACUAUUACAUAAUAUAUGAUGAACAUUUUCUUAAUAUGACGAAGAUUUUCGUAAUACACAGUGAACUUUUAUAUAAUAAAUAAAGAGAAGAAAAACAGAAACAGAAAAUAAAAAAGGAAACAUAAAAGAAAAAAAAUAAAAGAAAAAGGAGCCAAAAAAUAAAAAACCGGAACAAAACAACUGAAAAACGGACAAAAAGAGUGAAAAAACUGGAAGCAAAAAACCAUGUAAGAAAACGAAAAAAAAACCCCGCAAAGAACAGAGACGGAAGUAGCAGCGAACGAAUCCCGUACGUGGGCCGGCCCAAUCGGAGGCUUGCCUCAGCGAAACCACAACGAUCUUGACGCUAACGAGCGUCCAAUAGGGUUUGCCGGUAGGACACUGCCCAUCUUGUAAUCAAACUGACAAGCUGCCACCAUACACGGACUCGCUAUUUCCAUGCAGGCACAGCGAGGCGUCUAGUUUUUCCGAUCGGGGCAGGGGCAGGGCACGUGCAUGCAGUGUGCUGGAGCCGUAGAUGGCACUGGCAGUGGCAAGCAAGCUGGCACGACUCGGCCCAGAAUGGCAACGAACUGAGGCCCGGGGUCGGGGUGGCCCAGAAUGCCAGCGGAACACGUACGUAGUUACGGCGACGCCGAUGCUGUGACAUCUUUCGUUCUUCGUUUUCCUGCAAGAAACCUUGGAACUCAGAGAUCGCGUGAUCCUUCUUCUGAAGCAGUAACGCAAAAAGAUCGAUCACAUCACAUCAGACGGUUGGGCUGGAGGCAGGUGGAGGUGGUGCGUGCGGCCAGGCCAAACGAGCUCGAUCGGAGGCGCACAAGCGCCACGAGCGCGCACAGUGAACGUUGCAGAGGGUUGGGAGUUGGGAAUUUUCUAGCGACACUCAGCGACAUGACAGUAUAAUCAGCUUAAAUUCCAUCAUGUCGUCCCGGCUGUCCCCGUUCCUAUCUUGAGCUUGAGGAGACCCCCUUUUAUUUUGCGCGGUUGCUUGAGGAGACCCCUGCCCUCUAAGCAUGACACUGACAUGUGCAGAGCAGACAUCCCCGUAACCCGAGCCUGAACUUUUCAUGUGUUCGCUCAAGUUCCAGACCGCAAAUUCAAUGAACUCUUAUCCGAAGAAAAGAAUCGACCCCGGUCGGUCCACCCUGGCUGGGCCGCGGCUGCAUUGAAACCCAAUCAACUGUACGUUAAUCAAAGCAAGCUAGCUGCCCAACGGCUACUUGCCGAGUUUUUUCCCCUAGAGGCGAUCUAGGGUUCCACCAAACCUCCGGCGGCGACGGCGGAGUCCACGUAAAAACUCGCGGCGGCCGAGUCUAUCGGGCGCCGGGGGACAUCAACAUCAUGAGCACGAGCAGGAGGAACUUUUGCAUGGCGAAUCCACCGUCAACGGUGGUGCUGGGGGAGGUAGAAAAGAUGAAGGCGACGGUAAGCGGUGAAGGCGAUCCAUUGGACGGAAGGCAGAGCAGAGAAGUUAGGAAGGCAAUAGCAGGAGAGACCGGCAAGGGCACAUCGGUGGGAGGAGAAGGAGGUAGCGGGAGUAGGGGUGGAGAAGAGGUAGAGGAGGAAGAUGACGAGUGGGAUUACUACGGCCCAGAACCGGAUCUGGAGGACAAAUUUGCAGGUAUGAAGCUACAUGGAGAGGAGGAGGAUGAUCUUGAUUUAUCAGGGGAGGUAGAGGAAUUGAUCCAGGGGGUGAGGUGGCUAGGACUGUUUCGUGUCCAUACAACCAAACCUUUCAGUCAUGCCGCGCUAUUGAGGCAGAUGAGGAACGCCUGGGCGGCUGCGCAGGGUGUCACUUUCAAUGUUAAAGGACCCAAUCUUUUUCUGUUCCAGUGUCAUUGUCUCGGUGAUUGGAAGCGGAUCAUGGACUGGGGGCCUUGGAUCUUUCGUUAUGCUCCGGUAAUACUGCAGGAAUAUGAUGGCUUCACUGAUGUUGCAGAAUACAAACUCAAUAAAGUUCCAGUAUGGGCUCGAAUCAAGGGUUUGCCAGAUGGCUUGACAGCUAAGAAGGAGCUCGCAGAAAAGGUAGCCGCUAAGGUUGGGGAGCCACCCUUUACAGUGAUAGUCAAUGAGGGUAAGAUAAACCCUUCUAGUACAUUGAGAGUACGAGUUUUUGUGGAUGUUGACAAACCACUGGUGCGUUUUGUUCCGAUAACACUUCAGAAGAGGAAGAAAUACCCUGUUUUUUAUGAGAGGCUGCCGGACUUUUGUUACUACUGUGGUUUGAUGGGGCACGCGGUGGAGGAGUGCGGGGAUGGAAUUCAUGAUCCCCGCACAUGUGAAUGGGGAGAUUGGCUUCUGUGGAGCUCGGACCUCCCGGCUUACACUACAGGAGGGAGAGGGGGUACGGAAGGGAGGGGUAGAGGAGGUAGGACAGGAGGAGUAGGUGGAAGAGGAGGGAGAGGAGGCAGACAGGGUAGAGGAGAUAGGGAGGGAGAAAGAAGGAAUUUUGCAGAGGAGGAUGGAGGUUCUCAGACUAUGGACUACACACACCAGGUCAGCUCAGAAGAGAAUCAGAACGCCCGCAAAAGACUAGUGCGUGCUGACGGGUCAGUCAAUGUGAGAGGACAAAGUUUCCCUAACCUCUCGGGGAAGGUGGCCGACACGGUGUUGUAUUUGGAGAGCAAAGGAGAGGAGACAAACCAGGUGACAUCUACAACACCAGGCAGAAACCCUAUUGUGAAGAGGAGGAAGCAGGAUGGCAGGCGCCAGGAUGAGGAUGAGGUACUCGAAGAUAAGGCGGUCUCCCACGAGGAGGACCGCCGAGCCCAAUGAAACUGUUGUGCUGGAAUUGUCGCGAGAUUGGCGACCCCGCGACGGUUAGAGAGCUCCGCGAUCUCGUGGAGGCAUGUGCGCCGACGGUGCUUUGUAUUGUGGAGACGCAGUUGGCAAAAUACCACGUGGAAGGAUUGGCGGGUACUUUAGGGUUUUCUGGACGUUUUGGAGUAGAUAGUAGUGGUAGAAGUGGAGGUUUAUGCUUGUUCUGGAAAAAUAAUGUUGAUCUUGAAAUAAAGACCUUUUCUCGCUAUCAUAUUGAUUCAGUGAUGAAAAUGCCUGGAUUGGAACCAUGACGUUUGUCUUGUUUUUAUGGUGCAGCAGAUAGGAGUAUGAGGUACAAGAUGUGGGAUACUAUGAAAAUUUUACGGGGGGAGAAUGCACUACCAUGGGUGUGCAUGGGAGAUUUUAAUGAAAUUUUAAGGCCAGAAGAGCAAAUGGGGCCAAAUGAGCGUGAUAGUGCUCAGAUAGAAGGUUUCAGAGAAGCAGUUGAUGUUUGUGAGUUAACGGACCUUGGCUACAAAGGGUUGGAUUGGACUUUUGAGAAGAGAGUUGUGGGGGGAGAAUACUGCAGGGUAAGACUUGAUCGAGUGCUGGCUACGGCCAGUUGGUCAGCGUUAUUCCCGUAUGCCACGGUUGAACACCUAACUACAGCAAAGUCGGAUCAUAGCCCAAUAUUAUUGAUCAAUGCGAUGGAGGCAAGCAACCAGAGAAUUGCCCUUAAAAGGCCUUUUCGUUAUGAAUGCAUGUGGGAGAGCGAUGACAGGUUCGUGGAUACACUUCAGGAGGCAUGGGGUCGGGAUCAGCCGGCGGAAACUAUGGCGCAGCUUGCGGCCAAGUUGUCUUCGGUUGGGACCGCCCUGAAACAAUGGGGCAAGCUGUCGUUUGGCUCAGUCAGACAGGAGUUGCGCAGGCUACGACAACAGUUGACUCAGCUUAGAGAGGACCCGACGCGUGUUGGGCCGGGAGUGGAAGAGAAAAGGGUCUUGGAUCGGAUUGUUGAGUUGUCCUUUCGAGAGGAGACUAUGAUGAGGCAGAGAUCUCGCAUGGACUGGUUAUCUGCGGGGGACAGUAAUACGCAAUACUUUCAGAGGAAAGCGAGUGCUAGAAGGGCAAAGAACACCAUAACACAGUUAUAGAAAAUAGAUGGAACGACCACCUCUGAUCCGGAGGAGAUGGCUGAGAUGACGAAUGAAUUUUAUGAGAACUUAUACAAAUCAGAAGGAUGUAUAGGCAUAGAAGAAGUUCUGUCACAUAUUCCGGUAAGAGUUGAUGGUAACAUGAAUGCAAGGCUCAAUGCGCAGUAUACAAAAGAGGAGGUUAAAGAGGCAUUUUUUCAGAUGUUCCCAACAAAAGCAUCAGGGCCGAAUGGUUUUCUGGCGCAUUUCUUUCAGAGACAUUGGGAACUAUGUGGUGAUGAGGUAACUGGCGUGAUUAUAAGAUUGCUCAAUGGAGAGGACUCACCGGAGGAUAUCAACCGCACGGUCAUCGUUCUUAUUCCCAAGAUAGCUAGUCCAAAACUGAUAGCAUAAUUUCGGCCUAUAAGUCUUUGCAACGUGAUCUAUAAGAUUGCGUCAAAGGUCUUAGCAAGUAGGCUGAAGAUUAUUCUCCCCGAGGUAAUUUCUGAGGAGCAGUCCGCUUUUGUGCCUGGGCGUCUUAUCACGGAUAACUUCAUAACAGCUUAUGAGUGCCUACAUUACAUGAAGACCAGGAGAGUGAAGGCAAACCAUUUUGUGGCUCUGAAGUUGGAUAUGAUGAAAGCAUAUGAUAGACUUGAGUGGCAUUAUUUGAAAGCAGUGAUGCUCAAGAUGGGUAUCAGCCCACGUUUUACAGAUAUGGUUAUGAGGUGCAUGUCUUCAGUCACUUUCUCAGUUCUUUUUAAUGGUGGCAGUCUUCAUGAUUUCAGGCCAACAAGGGGGAUGAGGCAAGGGGAUCCCAUAUCCCCGUACCUAUUCUUGUUAGCCGCGGAAGGCCUCUCGUGUCUGUUAAAAGCCCAAGGGGUGGGGGUCCGAGGACUGUCAGUGGCGAAUAAUGCCCCAGCAAUCAACCAUUUACUUUUUGCAGAUGACAGUCUCUUGUUCUUUGAAGCUGAUAGUGAGAGUGCUACACAAGUGCGAGAUGUGUUGAGAAUGUAUUGUGAUGCUUCGGGACAGCGUAUCAACACUGGCAAAUCCUUUAUAUUUUUCAGUAAGGGUGUGCCAGAGGCCACACGAGAUGAGGUAAAAGCAGUUCUAGAUGUCCAUAAUGAAUCACUGUUAGAGAAGUAUCUUGGACUGCCAACUGAUGUAGGUAAAAACAAGGAGGGAAGCUUUAAAUAUUUGAAAGACAGAAUAUGGAAGCAUAUCCAAGGUUGGAUGAAAAAAAUGCUUAUCUGCAGGGGAAAAGAGGUGCUUAUAAAAUCCGUAGCGCAAUCUAUUCCGACCUACUCAAUGUCGUGUUUCAAGUUGCCCCGAGGUCUGAUUGAACACUUAGACGGUCUUCUGCGGAAGUUUUGGUGGGGCAGUAAAGGGGGUCAGAGGAAACCAGCAUGGGUUUCUUGGAAGACAAUGUGCAAACCAAAAAACAUGGGUGGAAUUGGUUUCCGGGACGUCGAGCUGUUUAAUUUGGCUUUAUUGGCUCGGCAAGUGUGGCGACUUCUGCAGGAUCCCGAAUCAUUGAGUGCUCGAGUUCUACGAGCGCGUUACUUCCCGGAAGGCAACAUACUUGACGCUGCACUGGGCGCACAUCCCUCCCAAGUAUGGCGAUCGUUGAUGGAAGGAAAAGAAUUGCUUGUUCUAGGGUUAAUAAAGAGGUUGGAUCGGGGACAGACACCCGCAUAUGGGAGGACAACUGGUUGCCGUGUGACUAUAAGCUGAAGCCCAUAUGCACUAUAUCACCUGAUCCACCACAGCUUGUAUCAGAGUUAAUUGAUGCUACAACGCGCACAUGGAACAAGCAGGUUUUGAUCGAGCAUUUCGUCAGCCUGGAUGUGGAUAUCAUAAUGAAUAUACCACUAAGUCUCCGGGUGCAACGUGAUUUCUGGGCAUGGCACUAUGAUCGGAGAGGGGGUUUUACCGUAAGGUCAGCAUACAAGAUGAUUAGUGCCAUCAAACAUCAGAGAGAGGAUUGGUUGGAACACAGGACGAGCCACUCAAAUGUGGAAGCCGAAAGUAAGGCUUGGUCUCAGCUAUGGAAAGUUAAAGUCCCAUCUAAAGUAAGGGUAUUUGUAUGGAGACUAGCUCACAUGUCGUCACCGACUGGUACAGUGCGCAAUGAGCGAAACAUGGCCACUUCUCCAGCUUGCGGGCUCUGCGAUGAGGAGGAGGAUUCAUGGCGUCAUUCCUUGUUUGAAUGCCGGAUGGCACGAUGUGUUUGGGCGUUGGGAGAUGAGGAGACCCUGGAGCAUGUGAUAUCAAACAGGAGUGAAGAUGCAAGGCUUUGGUUGUUUUGGCUAUUUGACACGUUGAACCAACAGGACCUUGCCAGGGUGCUCAUCACCAUGCGGGCGAUCUGGUGGGCUAGGAGGAGAGCAAUUCAUGAUGACGAAUUCCAAAGCCCUCUUUCUACAAUGUGUUUUGUGAACAGAUACUUGGAGGACCCGGAGAUCGCUGCCAAACGCGCUCCAACGCGUCCCUCGCAGCCGGUGGUACAAAGGCAGCGCAGGUGGAUCCCGCCGGGAGAGGAAGCAAUGAAGAUCAACGUAGACGGGGCUAUCUCUCGCCAAGGAGGAACGGGUGCAUCGGCUGUUGUGUGUCGGGACAAAGAAGGCAACUACCUGGGAUCUUCGGCGGUGGUUUUUGAAGGAUUAGUCGACGCCCCAAGCUUGGAAGCUCAAGCGUGCAACGAGGCGCUUGCCCUUGCUCAAGAUCUAUUGCUGACACAUGUGAUAAUAGCCUCGGAUUGCAUGCAGGUUGUUUCGGAUAUUAAGGGGGCGACGUCAUCUUCCUCUUAUGCUUUUGCAAUUGAAGAGAUUAAAGCUAGAGUUACAGACUUUGUAGGAGUUAAAUUUCGUUUUGAAAGUAGGGAGGCAAACUUUGAGGCCCAUGCCUGGGCAAAGGCAGCCUCGUCUCUCCCUACGGGUCGCCAUCUGUGGCUAGGGAACCCGCCAGACAUUAUAUGUAUUCCUCCGGUUUUAGCUGAUCAAUAAAAUCCCUAGUUACACCUCAAAAAAGCUGGCUGCCCAAUGUUACAUGGAUCAAUCUAGAGUGGCCCAAAAUGACGCCGUCGAGAGUGCGGUGUCAAGGGCCGUUACAGCGUUUGUAUCUGUCUAUCUUAAGUGACGCGUGGGUGCAGUGCAGUGGAUGAGAGCGGCAUGGCAACAGGUAGAGUGGUUGAAAAGCGUCUGAAAGUCGGUUCUGAACCAGGCCGGACCGGAGACCACUCAACAACGCACCAUUUUAGCUGUCAGUGGCCGCAGUCGAAACUAGAGUUGAGUAUGGAUGGAUGCAGCGUAGCCAUCGCGUGCCUGAAGCUGCACGGAUGCAUAUGUGCGGUAUGUGUGCAUAGGUUCCAGCAAUAAGCUUGUGCACGUACCGUACACGUAGAUGAAAACUUGCGGAUUGCAAGGAUCAACAACGGGGGUGUAGCUCAUAUGGUAGAGCGCUCGCUUCGCAUGCGAGAGGCACGGGGUUCGAUUCCCCGCACCUCCACCUUUUUUUUUUUAUCAAAUCCCGUUAUAUUCAAUAUGUUUUUGCUAACUUGAAUAACAAAUCAUCGUACCCUUUUUUUUUGCGGGAAUCAUCGUACCGAGAGGGUUCCCAUCCCAAGGUCCGCCACCGGAGCACGGACGCGUAUUCUGCAGCGCAACGGUACUCCAUACGCAUUCCGUUCUUCCCAUCCACCUCACGCACGAUCACGACCGUUAAUUCCCCACUCUACGGCUCACAAGACCCCCGCAACGACGCCAGUGGCACCAUCUCCUCCCGCAAGAAAGAAAGCCCACAGGAACAAAAGUGGCCGAGGAAAACCACCAGGACCAACGGAAGAGCGAAGAGGGGAACUGGGAACGGCGAAGCUGCUGCCGCCAUGGAUCGGGAGCUGGAGGAGGCGAACUGCAAGUUCGCGUGGCUCAAGCUCGCCUGCGCGGAGGACGAGCUCGACACCUGCGCCACCCUGAUCUCGGAGCUCAAGGUAUCCACCCACCUACCCACGGCUCGACUUCGUCCCCGUCUUUUUCCUGCGACGAUGAGGAAGGGGGAUUCGGUACAUUGACGCCUUUGCCCGCUGUAUACGCGAUGUUUCUGAAAUCCGGGGUAUUAUGGUGGAUGCGCAGGGUUUGUUUGGAGAAUUCGGGAGUUCCGCGGCGCGGGGGAUGGGGUUUACGAGCGGUUUUGGGCGAGUUCCAGGGAGUUUUUCUUUUCGAUUCGAGGAUCCAUUUCCACCUGGGUUUGAUCAGGUUUGGGAGAUGGAUGGGUGGGUCGGGAAUUCGGGAUGCGCUCCCCGUUGGUUCCUGAAAUUUCCCAACUGUACUGCUGCUGCCUAGGGUUUGAUGCGAUUUGCUGGAAAUGAGGGGAGGAGUUGGGGCGAGGGUUUGCAGUUCUGGAGAUGUGAAGAUCCAGUUCCACAAUAACAAUGUCAACACUGAUGUAGGUCCUGGUCUGGGGAUUCACGACAGGAUGCAAUGCUGUGUUUUUUGUUUUGAAUUGUCAGGGUUUCACUUAAAUUCAGCGUUUAUCAUCAGGUGACAUGUCUCCUCAUUUCGUUGAUUUCAGGUUCUUCUCACAAAGUUUCCUAGCCUGCCACCAUCAUUUAAGAAUACACCCAAUGCAGUUGCGGAGCUGAGACUCGCAAGUAAGCACUUGCUCCUGGAAAAAAACUGUGCUCUGUCCUUUGUCAUGCUGAACCAUUUUUAUUUUCAGUUAAAGGUGGGAUUCUGAACCAAUUUAAGAGAAAUGCUCCUAUAAAAUGGAACCCAAAAUUCUGCAUAUGGAGUUUCAUCCAAUUUGAGACGUGCUAUGUAGUUGAAGGUGUUUCGUGGAAUACUCUUUUCAGGAUGCGUGUAUUGAGCUCUGUAUGUAUGUUCGCUGGUCAUGGACUACAACUGCAAUUCUACAAAGCAUUCUCCUGAAGAGAGUAUUGUUGUCACUCAUAAAUGUUCUUUACACCAUUUGAGAAAGCCCUGUUCACUACAUUUUUUAAUUGCAAUCUACUGUACCAUUUUGCAAGUGUGUAGUAGACUAUAACUGUCCUACUGUAAGACUGCUGGCUACAUUUUUGCAUUGCAAUUUACCAUUUCAUCUAAAAACUGCAAGUCUGGAAAGCAUUUUUCAUGCUACGGCAUCAACUCUAAGAAUGCUGGCUACACUUCUGCAUUGCAGUUUACCAUUUUGCAAUCUACAUUUUUGUAUAAAUUAGUUGUGGUGACUGAUCGUGAAACUUUCAGGGGCCAUAUACGAGUUUGCUGUCAUCUUCAGCAUCAGAGUUAAGGACCAAGAUGCAUUUGAGAGGAACUUCUUCCAACUAAAAGUCUUCUACAUGGAUACAAGGUUUGUUUUCUACUUAAGCACAUUUUGGUCCUACGUACUGCAUAGAUUCAUCCUAUGUAGUCAUGCACGUAAAUUAUCUUUCUAGCUUAUUUUUCUUGUGCCAACACGCUUAUGUUUUUCCUAAAAAACAAUUGACAUUUCAAAUAUCUAGAUCGUGGACAUGCACUUCCUUGAUACAAUCUAUUUGAUUGUGGUGGAAGUUAUGUGUUGUGACCAUUAACCUUUGGUUUAAUCACUAUCUAGUACCUUGGCAUUCUAUUCCUCACAGCACCUAUAAGGAAUGGCAGGUGCCAGCAGGACACCCUUGAUAUAAGUAAUCAAAAUGCAAUUAUUAAGAUUCUUUCGUUCAGCAGUCAGCACAUGGUUUCAUUGUUUGUCAUUUGUCAAGUCGACAUUGUUGAGGAAUGAGGAUACGUUUAUGAAUUGUCUUAAUCUGUGCGACCUCCUGGAUUUUUAGGAGCACGAUUAUCUUGUGGCUAAAAGAUGCCGCUGAACAUUUCCACAUAGAUAUUCUAUCCUGGAGCACUGUAUUUCUGAACUUAUGUUUGCCGAGUGCUAUUGAUAUUGUGUUUUCUUUUGUGAUUGUCCAUCAGAAGCAUACUCCCACCAUCACCAGAAGAAUAUCGAAUUUGGGGGCUUAAUCUUCUGAGGCUGUUGGCUGAGAACAGAGUAGCUGAAUUCCACACUGAGCUGGAACUUCUGCCCCCCAGAGCCCUAGACCAUCCUUGCAUCAAAUAUGCAGUCGAGCUUGAGCAAUCCUUUAUGGAAGGUACCUACAACCGAUUAACCAAUGGUCAGCGAGCUGUGCCACAUGAGACAUACCUCUACUUCAUGGACCCUUCUUGCUGAAACUAUUAGGUGAAUGAAUUUACAUUACGUUUUCUACAUGGCUCGUGUGGUGAAGUUCCUGAUUGUGUUCUCUACGUCUUCUUUUGCAGAGAUGAGAUAGCUGAUUGCAGUGGUCAGGCAUACGAUCACUUGCCAGUGGAUGGUACCAGAAAAAUGCUGAUGUUUUCCUCUGAGCAAAAGCUUCUGGAGUACAUAUCAGAGGUAACUAUUAAUUUCUCUCGUCUUCUGUCCUAUCACCAUGUUUUAUAUGAAUAAUGUCAUAGUGAAUCGUUGGCGUCUGAAUAAUUUAAAGGGUGGUAAAACACAUCUUGUUAGAGGCAUGAGUGCAAACCACUAAGCUGCUACUCUACUGACAUAACCAUAUGCGUACUAGUAGACUAGAUUGUAUGAUUGUUAACGCUGCCACUUCCUGACUAUACAAGUACUCCUUAUGUUGGCAGAUACAGCAUGAAUGGGAGGUUCAGAAUCAUUCAGUCCUUUUCCACAUGGCGAAGGUCCAACCCCGUGUCGGCAUACAAGCGCAUCAGAUGAUCAAGCGAUCUCUUUGCUACGCACGGGAGCUCGAGCGGGUAGUGUAACCUGCAAAACACUGUGGAUAUUGUUCGACGAGCGGAUGGUAUAACUUGCAAAGCGAGGUGGAUUUUGUCCCAUGUAGGUAGUCCGUGAUAUUAGUAUUUUGUCCCAAGGAACGAUCAGUCUAGAUGCUAGAUAGUCAUGUCUCGUGAUAUGCGUUCUCCUUGCUGAAAUGCUGGAAUUUCUGUUGAAAACACAGGCUGGGGACUGCUUGACGAUGCUAAAAUCGAUGAGAUAUGUUCGGUUCCAGUAUGAUGCUCCCCUGUCGUGAAAUUCAUUUAAGUUCAGUUCAGUUGGAUAUGUUCAGUUCCAGUAUGAUGCUCCCUGUUGUGAAGUUCAUUUCAGUUCAGUUGGAUGCUUUGAUGGAAAUUGGGAACUCAGCAUAGGAUCAUGUGAGCGGUUAAACUUGUUAUCAAAUCUAUCUCCCAUUUUUCUAAAGUGACGGCGCUAUUUCUCAGCCAGUAGAACUAUUUUGACACAUUCAGGACAUUAUACAUAACCAGCUCACUGACCCUCGGGAGCUUUGAAUUUGUAGCUCAAAUCACUAUACAGAGACAACAUGAAUGGUCAGGAAACGAGUCAACAUACUCGAUGCAGCAUUGCACUUGUGCUGCCUCAGCUACCCUCCCAUGUUCCUUGAGGAAACUAAUUCCUUAUUCCUUGUUGUGCAUUAGCUUUAAUCGACAGAGUAGAGAAAAAAGAAUGGCCGGCCAAGAAUCGACUGUCAUGAACCGGAUCACUGCAUCGUCUUAGAGUAACACCCACGGGACUGUCAUGAACCAGAUCCCUGCAUCGACUUGAGCAACUUCUUCAGCGUAUCCACAAUGCUUGAAAACGAAGGGCGCUGCCUUGGGUC
Molecule: long non-coding RNA, 31954 nt
Filed under: Triticum aestivum (bread wheat)
Lineage: Eukaryota; Viridiplantae; Streptophyta; Magnoliopsida; Poales; Poaceae
Description: long non-coding RNA (TAES_LNC021257)
Rfam family: tRNA (bases 27768-27840)
Source: RNAcentral